Molecule: ribosomal RNA, 253 nt
Filed under: uncultured bacterium
Lineage: Bacteria
Description: partial 16S ribosomal RNA
Rfam family: Bacterial small subunit ribosomal RNA
Source: RNAcentral
UACGUAGGGGGCUAGCGUUGUCCGGAAUCAUUGGGCGUAAAGCGCGUGUAGGCGGUCCGGUAAGUCCGCUGUGAAAGUCGGGGGCUCAACCCUCGAAAGCCGGUGGAAACUGUCGGGCUAGAGUACGGAAGAGGCGAGUGGAAUUCCUGGUGUAGCGGUGAAAUGCGCAGAGAUCCGGAAGAACACCGGUGGCGAAGGCGGCCUGCUGGGCAGUAGCUGACGCUGAGGCGCGACAGCGUGGGGAGCAAACAGG